Molecule: ribosomal RNA, 253 nt
Filed under: uncultured bacterium
Lineage: Bacteria
Description: partial 16S ribosomal RNA
Rfam family: Bacterial small subunit ribosomal RNA
Source: RNAcentral
UACAGAGGGUGCAAGCGUUGUUCGGAAUUAUUGGGCGUAAAGCGCGUGUAGGCGGCUUUGCAAGUCGGGUGUGAAAGCCCUCGGCUCAACCGAGGAAGUGCGCCCGAAACUGCAGAGCUUGAGUACCGGAGAGGAUGGCGGAAUUCCCCAAGUAGAGGUGAAAUUCGUAGAUAUGGGGAGGAACACCGGUGGCGAAGGCAGGUCUCUGGGCCACUACUGACGCUGAGGCGCGAAAGCCAGGGGAGCGAACGGG